RNAcentral lists this ribosomal RNA (490 nucleotides) under uncultured bacterium. RNAcentral's name for it is "bacterial SSU rRNA". It matches the Rfam family "Bacterial small subunit ribosomal RNA", at positions 29 to 515 of the family's 1533-position model. The record is from RNAcentral.
AUUGAACGCUGGCGGCAUGCCUUACACAUGCAAGUCGAACGGUAACGCGGGGCAACCUGGCGACGAGUGGCGAACGGGUGAGUAAUGCAUCGGAACGUGCCCAAUAGUGGGGGAUAGCCCGGCGAAAGCCGGAUUAAUACCGCAUACGACCUGAGGGUGAAAGCGGGGGAUCGCAAGACCUCGCGCUAUUGGAGCGGCCGAUGUCAGAUUAGCUAGUUGGCGGGGUAAAGGCCACCAAGGCGACGAUCCGUAGCUGGUCUGAGAGGAUGAUCAGCCACACUGGGACUGAGACACGGCCCAGACUCCUACGGGAGGCAGCAGUGGGGAAUAUUGGACAAUGGGCGCAAGCCUGAUCCAGCAAUGCCGCGUGGGGGAUGAAGGCCCUUGGGUUGUAAACCUCUUUUGUUCGGGAAGAAGUGCGAUCAGGUGAAUAAUCUGGUCGUUUGACGGUACCGGACGAAUAAGCUCCGGCUAACUCCGUGCCAGCAGC